RNAcentral lists this long non-coding RNA (585 nucleotides) under Panax ginseng (ginseng). RNAcentral describes it as "long non-coding RNA (PGIN_LNC004243)". The record is from RNAcentral. Lineage: Eukaryota; Viridiplantae; Streptophyta; Magnoliopsida; Apiales; Araliaceae.
UUCAUUCAUUUGCUGCCUUCAAAUACAGAUUGGAUUUCAUACAUAUACUCUCACCCCCUCUGAUCUCAGCAAUCGAGGAGAGAAGAAUGAAGUAAUGAACACAUGCUCCCCCUCUCCAGUUAAAAUUUAGUCUAACAAAAUAAGGAGAAAAAGACAAAUAGACAAUAAUGACCCGACUAUUGGAAUUAAAAAAAACAUAAUACCCCUUUAACUAAAUAGACUUAAACAGACUUGUUUAUUUAAUAAAAUCCUUACAGUUUACUUACAUGACAUGCCUCAUAAGUUUACUUACAUGACAUGCCUCAUAAGGAAUUGUGUAAAACACUAGUUUCCCACUUUUCCAGGAAACCAAAAACAGACGCCCAUUAUUAUUGUGUUUGCUGUAAGAAUUGACAUAUCUACUCUAUUUUUGAUUAGGUGUCCACCGUGAAUCUUUGAUUUUCAUUAGUGGGGGAAAAUCAGGGGCUGUUGUUUCAAUGUUGUCUCCCGACAGAGAAAGGGCUUCCAGAGUUACAUACGUGGGUAAGAAGCAAAUUCUACAUGUAUAUACACAAACUUUUUACUAAGGAAGUAGAGGGAGGGAGA